This 77-nucleotide transfer RNA is filed under the name Nitriliruptor sp. Its description in RNAcentral is "tRNA-Thr". It matches the Rfam family "tRNA". From Rfam's summary of the family: Transfer RNA (tRNA) molecules are approximately 80 nucleotides in length. Lineage: Bacteria; Bacillati; Actinomycetota; Nitriliruptoria; Nitriliruptorales; Nitriliruptoraceae. The record is from RNAcentral.
GCCGAGGUAGCUCAGUCCGGCAGAGCAACCGCCUUGUAAGCGGUCGGUCAGGGGUUCGAAUCCCCUCCUCGGCUCCG